GUAUGGUAACUGUGAUAAGGUUAGGAGGUACAACGGAUCCAUGUACCAACCCAAUGGCAUUUACUAAUCUCAACCGAAGAUCUGCCACAAAUGUAAGGAACCUUACAACCACUCCACUAUCUGAUAGAUUUAUCACAGAAGGAUGGUACGGACAACGUUAUGUUAAAAUAUCUAAUUCAACACCUGGUAUUAAUCACUGUGGUACUGUUUAUCCUAUCUAUUUACAAGGUGCUGAUCCGGUAGCUGGUCCCGUAAAAAAUAGAACAUUUUGUGUGCAUACUCGAAGUGGCCCUUGUGCUCGAACCAUCCAGAUAGAAACCAAACGUUGUGAUAAGUUUCUGGCAUAUAAUCUAAGACGAACAUUUUCUGGAUAUGCGUCUUAUUGUGUUGGUACGUAUCUUCUUUUUUUGUAAGCCAAUUUAGAGUCAUAUCUUUCAUUUCAUACUUAAUAGGUUUUAUAUUAUCAGGCAUUGAUUAUUCCAAAUAAUCAUAGGGACCAUUAACACACUAGACAUAGGGUGGGCCACAGCCUCAAAUAUAUGUGUUGAUGAAGAAAUGAACGAACGUGCCGGAAUAUUACAUUUCAAUUACGUAAGAUGUGCAUUUAUUGAACGCAGAAAACAAUCGCCAAAAUGGACAUUCGUGUGACAAUAU
This is a long non-coding RNA of Patella vulgata (common limpet), 654 nucleotides long. RefSeq lists it as uncharacterized. The transcript has 3 exons. The record is from RefSeq and is a predicted model, not a curated record. Lineage: Eukaryota; Metazoa; Mollusca; Gastropoda; Patellidae.